AGCAGCCGCGGUAAUUCCAGCUCCAAUAGCGUAUAUUAAAGUUGUUGCAGUUAAAAAGCUCGUAGUUGAAUUUCGGGGUUAGUAGGUUGGUCAUGCCUCUGGUAUGUACUGGUCUCACUGAUUCCUCCUUCCUGAUGAGCCGUAAUGCCAUUAAUUUGGUGUUGCGGGGAAUUUGGACUGUUACUUUGAAAAAAUUAGAGUGUUUAAAGCAAGCUAACGCUUGAAUACAUUAGCAUGGAAUAAUGAAAUAGGACGUUCGAUCCUAUUUUGUUGGUUUCUAGGAUUGACGUAAUGAUUAAUAGGGAUAGUUGGGGGCAUUAGUAUUCAAUUGUCAGAGGUGAAAUUCUUGGAUUUAUUGAAGACUAACUACUGCGAAAGCAUUUGCCAAGGAUGUUUUCAUUAAUCAAGAACGAAAGUUAGGGGAUCGAAGACGAUCAGAUACCGUCGUAGUCAUUAACCAUAAACUAUGCCGACUAGGGAUCGGAUGAUGUUAAUUUUUUAAUGACUCAUUCGGCGCCUU
This 520-nucleotide ribosomal RNA is filed under the name uncultured Glomus. RNAcentral's name for it is "SSU rRNA". It matches the Rfam family "Eukaryotic small subunit ribosomal RNA", at positions 569 to 1089 of the family's 1831-position model. Lineage: Eukaryota; Fungi; Glomeromycota; Glomeromycetes; Glomerales; Glomeraceae. The record is from RNAcentral.